CGUUCGUAUCAUGUUGAAACACCGGUUAUGGUACGAUCACUGAAGUUAAGCAACGUCGAGCCUAGCCACUACCUAGAUGAGUGACCGCUUGGGUAUACCAGGUGUUGCAAG
Molecule: non-coding RNA, 111 nt
Organism: Acanthosepion pharaonis
Lineage: Eukaryota; Metazoa; Mollusca; Cephalopoda; Sepiida; Sepiidae
Source: the annotation of a GenBank genome assembly